AGGUUAUUGGCAAUGUGUCGACGGCGGAGAGAACAGGCGGAUCGUAAAGACGCCGUAAACCCUUCCCUGGGGGCUCGAGCCGCACCCUCCCUGGCGCGAACGCUUU
Molecule: non-coding RNA, 106 nt
Filed under: Yersinia mollaretii
Lineage: Bacteria; Pseudomonadati; Pseudomonadota; Gammaproteobacteria; Enterobacterales; Yersiniaceae
Source: RNAcentral